This 484-nucleotide ribosomal RNA is filed under the name uncultured bacterium. RNAcentral's name for it is "partial 16S ribosomal RNA". It matches the Rfam family "Bacterial small subunit ribosomal RNA", at positions 29 to 507 of the family's 1533-position model. The record is from RNAcentral.
AUUGAACGCUGGCGGCAGGCCUAACACAUGCCAGUCGAACGGCAGCACGGUAAUCGCUCUCGCUUACGGGGGCGGACGGGUGGGUGAUUCAUGGGAACGUGCCCAGCUGUGGGGGCUAGCGGGACGAAAGAGGGAAUAAUACGCCAUACGAGCUGAGGGUGUAAGGGGGGGAGCGAAGGACCUUGCGCUCUUGGGGGGGCCGAUGUCGGAUUAGCUAGUUGGUGGGGUAAAGGCGUACCAAGGCGACGAUCCGUAGCUGGUCUGAGAGGAUGAUCAGCCACACUGGAACUGAGACACGGUCCAGACUCCUACGGGAGGCAGCAGUGGGGAAUAUUGGACAAUGGGGGCAAGCCUGAUCCAGCCAUGCCGCGUGCGUGAAGAAGGCCUUCGGGUUGUAAAGCGCUUUUGUUGGGGAAGAAAGGCAGUAGGUUAAUACCCCGCUGUUAUGACGGUACCCAAAGAAUAAGCACCGGCUAACUUCGUG